CGAUCAGAUACCGCCCUAGUUCUGACCGUAAACGAUGCCAACUAGCGAUCCGCCAGUCGACUCAUCGCUCUGGUGGGGAGUUUCCCGGAAACGAAAGUCUUCCGGUUCCGGGGGAAGUAUGGUUGCAAAGCUGAAACUUAAAGGAAUUGACGGAAGGGCACCACCAGGAGUGGAGCCUGCGGCUUAAUUUGACUCAACACGGGGAAACUCACCCGGCCCGGACACCGUGAGGAUUGACAGAUUGAUAGCUUUUUCAUGAUUCGGUGGAUGGUGGUGCAUGGCCGUUCUUAGUUCGUGGAGCGAUUUGUCUGGUUUAUUCCGAUAACGAGCGAGACUCUGGCCUACUAAAUAGUUGACGCAUUGCCACUGUGCGCACAACUUCUUAGAGGGAUUUUCGGUGUUUUCAACCGCACGAAAUUGAGCAAUAACAGGUCUAUGAUGCCCUUAGAUGUCCGGGGCUGCACGCGCGCUACACUGGCAAACGCAACGUGCCUGUCCUGCCCCGAAAGGAGCGGGUAAACCCCUGAAAUUUUGCCGUGAUUGGGAUCGGACAUUGCAACUAUUGUCCGUGAACGAGGAAUUCCUUGUAGGGGCGAGUCAUCAACUCGUCCCGAAUACGUCCCUGCCCUUUGUA
RNAcentral lists this ribosomal RNA (634 nucleotides) under Rotylenchulus reniformis. RNAcentral's name for it is "SSU rRNA". It matches the Rfam family "Eukaryotic small subunit ribosomal RNA", at positions 1005 to 1664 of the family's 1831-position model. Lineage: Eukaryota; Metazoa; Nematoda; Chromadorea; Rhabditida; Hoplolaimidae. The record is from RNAcentral.